CUGUGAUAGGCGGGGAGCCAGCGGUGCCCUGUAUCUGCAACCCGCUAUAGCAGAGCCGAACGCUUCUUGAGGCUAGUAUAUGGGAAGCAGGAGUCCGUAAGGAACGUUGAUGUCAAGGUCUUAUGCAAUAUAGCGCCGUGAACCGCGUCAGGAUGGGAACAUAGCAGCGCUAAGCGGAACGCCGUGUGUGCCAUAAGGAAGCUUUGAAGGAGUCGCCUGCGGGAAUACCGUUCCGAUGUAUUUUGUCGAAAAGUUGAACUCACAG
RNAcentral lists this signal recognition particle RNA (265 nucleotides) under Clostridiales bacterium. Its description in RNAcentral is "signal recognition particle sRNA large type". It matches the Rfam family "Bacterial large signal recognition particle RNA". Rfam says of the family: The signal recognition particle (SRP) is a universally conserved ribonucleoprotein involved in the co-translational targeting of proteins to membranes. Archaeal SRP consists of a 7S RNA and homologues of the eukaryotic SRP19 and SRP54 proteins. The record is from RNAcentral. Lineage: Bacteria; Bacillati; Bacillota; Clostridia; Eubacteriales.